CUGCCGCGGAAGCGCAAGGGCGCGCGCUCCCUCGCCGGCUCCCUCCACGACGCCUCCGCGGACCGCAAGCGGACCUGCCGGGAGCGGAAGCCGCGCCCCGACAAGAAGAAAAAGAAGCCCUCCACCGCCGGCGAUGACGCCGCCACCGCCUCCGGCCGGGGCGGCGUGGUCAUGACGGCGCCGCCGGCCAGCGGCCGGGCCGCCCCGGACAGCCCCGGAAGGGGGCUCAAGCGCAAGGUCGGCUGCAUCGAGUCCGCCACCCGGAUAGGCCGCAAGAAGCGCCUCGAGGCCGAGUACGAGCUCGGCGACGAGAUCGGCCAGGGCAAGUUCGGCUCCGUCCGGAUCUGCCGCGCCAAGGCCGGCGGCGAGGAGUUCGCCUGCAAGGCGCUCCCCAAGAACGGCGAGGAGACGGUCCACCGCGAGGUCGAGAUCAUGCAGCACCUCUCCGGCCACCCCGGCGUCGUCACGCUCAAGGCCGUCUUCGAGGACGCCGACAAGUUCUACCUCGUCAUGGAGCUCUGCAGCGGCGGCCGCUUGCUCGACGAGAUGGCCAGGGACGGCACCUUCUCCGAGCAGCGAGCCGCCCUUGUCAUCAAGGAUCUAAUGUCGGUCGUCAAGUACUGCCAUGAAAUGGGCGUCAUCCACAGGGACAUUAAGCCGGAGAAUAUUUUGCUCACCAAGACUGGGAAGAUGAAACUAGCAGAUUUUGGAUUGGCAGCACGAGUUACUAACGGUCAGAAAUUGUCUGGCGUUGCUGGGAGCCCAGCCUAUGUGGCGCCUGAGGUGUUGUCAGGAAGCUAUUCUGAGAAAGUAGACAUAUGGGGUGCUGGGGUGCUCCUCCAUGUACUACUGCUUGGUUCACUUCCAUUUCAAGGGGGCUCUCUGGAAGCUGUCUUUGAAGCUAUAAAGACAGUUGAGCUUGAUUUCAACAGCGGUCCAUGGGAAUCAAUGUCAGUUCUUGGACGGGAUCUUAUAAGUCGAAUGUUAGAUCGAGAUGUCUCUUCUAGAAUAACUGCUGAUCAAGUUCUUUGUCAUCCAUGGGUGUUGUUCUACACGGAAUGUACCCUGAAGGCUGUAACACCUAAUGUCACUAACAAGAUUGUAGCACCCAAAAUUACAUGGGACAGAAUUAGAUCACAUUGUGAGUCGUCAGCUUCAGAUUCGUCUAGCCAGAGGUCGGAGGACCAGGAUGAAUGUGGCAUAGUCGACGCACUGACAGCGGCAAUAACACAUGUUAGAAUAUCGGAGCCGAAAAGGACCCGGCUUUGCAGCCCCGGCAUUCCCAUACAGCAGGAGUGCUCCUCAAACAUAAAGAGCAACCUGUGUACGGCGUUCUGACAUGACCCCAAUGUAUAGCCCCUUGUGUGUUGGUCUGAUGUCAGUGAUGGCUCGCCCUGCUGGUUGUCUCUGUGCUGAGGAUAAUAACUCGGGUUUUCCUGUCAGAGCAAGCAAGCGUUCGACAUGGUGAUGCUGUAGAUUGCGGUGAUGGCUGAUGAACCCGACAUGGUAGCUGAUGCUGUAAAUUUUGUAAAUAGAAUGAUCCAUGUAGCUAAUUUAUAUCUUGAGAGAGUUGAGAAUAAUUUCAGUCUAUGAUGAACAUAGUGCGCGCCAUCAUCCUUGUUCCAUUUUUUGUUUCUUCCUGUUCCUCCUAGUCUAUUGAGAUCAGAUUUUUGCACGGAUUUCCUGCAUUGGAUUUUUUUUUUGUUACUAGAUCUCUUUCGCCCUGAAUGUAUUUUCCAGAAGCUGUACUCUUAAUCUGAUACUUGUGAUUUAAGAUAUGGGAGGACUCAUUUUGUCCAUUUGGG
This 1805-nucleotide ribosomal RNA is filed under the name Triticum aestivum (bread wheat). Its description in RNAcentral is "partial small subunit ribosomal RNA". Lineage: Eukaryota; Viridiplantae; Streptophyta; Magnoliopsida; Poales; Poaceae. The record is from RNAcentral.